This 908-nucleotide ribosomal RNA is filed under the name uncultured bacterium. RNAcentral's name for it is "bacterial SSU rRNA". It matches the Rfam family "Bacterial small subunit ribosomal RNA", at positions 62 to 1001 of the family's 1533-position model. The record is from RNAcentral.
UCGACGAUGAAUCUUCUAGCUUGCUAGAAGUGGAUUAGUGGCGCACGGGUGAGUAAUGCAUAGGUUAUGUGCCCUUUAGUCUGGGAUAGCCACUGGAAACGGUGAUUAAUACUGGAUACUCCCUACGGGGGAAAGUUUUUCGCUAAAGGAUCAGCCUAUGUCCUAUCAGCUUGUUGGUGAGGUAAUGGCUCACCAAGGCUAUGACGGGUAUCCGGCCUGAGAGGGUGAUCGGACACACUGGAACUGAGACACGGUCCAGACUCCUACGGGAGGCAGCAGUAGGGAAUAUUGCUCAAUGGGGGAAACCCUGAAGCAGCAACGCCGCGUGGAGGAUGAAGGUUUUAGGAUUGUAAACUCCUUUUGUUAGAGAAGAUUAUGACGGUAUCUAACGAAUAAGCACCGGCUAACUCCGUGCCAGCAGCCGCGGUAAUACGGAGGGUGCAAGCGUUACUCGGAAUCACUGGGCGUAAAGAGUGCGUAGGCGGGGUAAUAAGUCAGAUGUGAAAUCCUGUAGCUUAACUACAGAACUGCAUUUGAAACUGUUACUCUGGAGUGUGGGAGAGGUAGGUGGAAUUCUUGGUGUAGGGGUAAAAUCCGUAGAGAUCAAGAGGAAUACUCAUUGCGAAGGCGACCUGCUGGAACAUUACUGACGCUGAUGCACGAAAGCGUGGGGAGCAAACAGGAUUAGAUACCCUGGUAGUCCACGCCCUAAACGAUGGAUGCUAGUUGUUGCCUUGCUUGUCAGGGCAGUAAUGCAGCUAACGCAUUAAGCAUCCCGCCUGGGGAGUACGGUCGCAAGAUUAAAACUCAAAGGAAUAGACGGGGACCCGCACAAGCGGUGGAGCAUGUGGUUUAAUUCGAAGAUACGCGAAGAACCUUACCUAGGCUUGACAUUGAUAGAAUCUACU